Molecule: ribosomal RNA, 638 nt
Filed under: uncultured bacterium
Lineage: Bacteria
Description: bacterial SSU rRNA
Rfam family: Bacterial small subunit ribosomal RNA
Source: RNAcentral
GAAAGAAUAUCGGAGACGGAUGGGCAUGCGGCGCAUUAGCUGGUUGGCGGGGUAACAGCCCACCAAGGCGACGAUGCGUAGGGGUUCUGAGAGGAAGGUCCCCCACACUGGUACUGAGACACGGACCAGACUCCUACGGGAGGCAGCAGUGAGGAAUAUUGGUCAAUGGGCGAGAGCCUGAACCAGCCAAGUCGCGUGAGGGAGUACUGCCCUAUGGGUUGUAAACCUCUUUUGUCGGGGAGCAAAAGCCGGACGUGUCCGGCUGUGAGAGUACCCGAAGAAGAAGCAUCGGCUAACUCCGUGCCAGCAGCCGCGGUAAUACGGAGGAUGCGAGCGUUAUCCGGAUUUAUUGGGUUUAAAGGGUGCGCGGGCGGAUUUUUAAGUCAGCGGUCAAAUCGUGGGGCUCAACCCCAUCCAGCCGUUGAAACUGGGGAUCUAGAGUGUGCGAGAGGUAUGCGGAAUGCGUGGUGUAGCGGUGAAAUGCAUAGAUAUCACGCAGAACCCCGAUUGCGAAGGCAGCAUACCGGUGCACAACUGACGCUCAGGCACGAAAGCGUGGGUAUCGAACAGGAUUAGAUACCCUGGUAGUCCACGCAGUAAACGAUGAAUGCUACCUGUUUGGCCAGAUUGAUGGCUGA